Molecule: long non-coding RNA, 1462 nt
Organism: Contarinia nasturtii (swede midge)
Lineage: Eukaryota; Metazoa; Arthropoda; Insecta; Diptera; Cecidomyiidae
Exons: 4
Source: RefSeq, a predicted model, not a curated record
AACUUCGAACGAAGUGUUUCGUACUUAUAUCAAUAGUUUUUUAGUAUUUCGAUGACUAAAUUCUAACGCUAAGUGUGUUGACCCCUGAUUUUAUCGUGAAAUAAAUGUCAGAUUCGGUUUUCUCGUGCCAAAAAACCCCCCAGUAUACCAAUUUUCCUAGCAAUCGAAUAAAAACAAAUUUUUUCCGAAAUAUCACUCCAAAAAAGGCCGAAAAAUCUAAAAAGAGUGAACUAAUUUCUCAAAACCACUAUUGAAUUCCUCGGGUCCGAAUUAUGUAAAAUCAGUUGUCAAAGUGAACAAACAAUGUAAAAACAUAGCACAUUACAGUAGAUUACAAAAGAUAUUAAAAUAUAGGUGGCCGCCAAAGUUCACAACUUUCUCAAUUUUCACCAAAUAAAACAAUGUUGUCGUUUCAAAAUUUGCAUAUCGGGUCAAAAUUGAGUGCGCUUUCGAUCUAUGAUGAAAAAUGCCAAGCCAGUCAUACAUUUUUUCGACAUAAAUGACAAUUAACUUCGAUUUUCAUCGAUUUUUCCCCAUUUUUCGAAGUUUAGUCAUUCUGAUCCUUGACACCGGAAGUCUAUAUAUAAUUUGGGGGUAAAAAAAUAAACAUGAAGGUCUAUUACUGUAAAUUGGUAGUCGGGGACAUAAUAUGCAUGUUAGCGGUGUAAUUCAACAUCUUUUGAUCAAUUUUUGUUAGAUUGUGUCAUCUAUUUAAUCGCUCGUUAAAUGUUGACUACAUGCAGUCAUUUCAAGUGAAUUGAUUUUUGAAGUUUCAUUACAUGCACUCAUUUUGAGUUACCGUUGACCCGUUGCAGUGACAUUUCUUCGAGGUUAUGUGCUCCAAGUUCGCGGAAACGUUUUGAUGGAUAAACUAAAUAAACUUGGCCCCGUGAAAAAGUUCGACACAGCCGAAGACGCUGCAGAAUAUAUCAUAAAAGUGAUCAAAUUUAGCACCGAUAUCGGCUGUAAUGCUUACAAUUUUUUUUAGCGAGAUACAGAAAUUUGCAAUGGCGAUUGCACCAGAUGACGCCCGAUCCUUAGAAUAUACCGAUAAAGUGCAAUUUUUCAUUGAACUGGGGAAACAUUUGUCGAAUACAGCUUGUGAAAACCUCGACAUUUUUAAUGAUUUAUCUUGUACGGCAUCAAGCACCACAAUAACCACCACGUCUGAAAAGCCAGCUACGAAUGCACAGAGCCAUUUGGUUUUCAAUAAUUUUGGUACAUAUAACUUCCAUGCAAAUUCCCCAUGCAAACCAGAAAAAUGAGGUGGUGGAAAAACGGAAAUGUUUCAAUGCAUUCGCAAAUUUAUUUGAGCGUAAUACGUAAGCCAAAAUAGUGUUAAAAAAAAAAACAAAAAAAUACACGUCAAUUCCAUUUUUAAUUUAGAUUAUCCGAUGUAUGUGAAAAGUAUUAAAAUUUAUGUCAAAAUCAAUAAAUGGGAAUUUUAAAAGGUUAUAAUGCA